CAUUGUGAUCCCAAAUUUUUUGGGAUUACUGAGGGAAGGGGGGGUAGAGAGAGGAGGGAGAUAGAGAAGGAGAGGGAAGAGAGAGAAAUGGUAGAGAGAGGAAGGAGAGGGAGAAGAGGUAGAGAGAUGAGGGAGAUAGAGAAGGGAUGGGGAGAGAGAGAAAAAGGGUAGAGAGAGAGAGGGAGGAAGGCUUAUCAGAAUGAGAGAGAGAAAUGGUAGAGAGAGAGUGAUGGAGUGUAGGGUAAAGAGAGAAUUACUGUAAGGACUAAGGUUUUGGCAGUAUAGCUAAACUCUCUGUUGAUAAUAUUUUUGUGUGUAUUUUAAUUACAAAAGCACUCGUCAAGUUUCGGGAGAAAACGAGUUUGAAUGGAGAAGUUACGCGACUUUU
This 388-nucleotide long non-coding RNA is filed under the name Ananas comosus (pineapple). Its description in RNAcentral is "long non-coding RNA (ACOM_LNC033323)". Lineage: Eukaryota; Viridiplantae; Streptophyta; Magnoliopsida; Poales; Bromeliaceae. The record is from RNAcentral.